ACCAUCAUCUAUCGACCGGAAGACUUGAAC
RNAcentral lists this small RNA (30 nucleotides) under Arabidopsis thaliana (thale cress). Its description in RNAcentral is "ATSL257350". The record is from RNAcentral. Lineage: Eukaryota; Viridiplantae; Streptophyta; Magnoliopsida; Brassicales; Brassicaceae.